CUCUUCUCGUUAGUUUUUGAAGUAUGGCCUGCCCACUGACCUUGAAUGUUGAAGGGCCGCGGUAUUUUGACCGUGCAAAGGUAGCAUAGUCAUUAGUUCUUUAAUUGUGAUCUGGUAUGAAUGGCUUGACGAGGCAUAAGCUGUCUUAAUUUUGAAUUGUUUAUUGAAUUUGGUCUUUGAGUUAAAAUUCUUAGAUGUUUUUAUGGGACGAGAAGACCCUAUAGAGUUUGACAUUUAUUCACGGUCUCUUUCUGUUUGUGAGGGUUCACUAGGGCUGUUUAAUAUGUUUUGUUGGGGUGAUGGGAGGGAUAUUAUUUAACCCCUCCUUUGUGUUGUUAUAUUUAUUUAUAUUUGCUUGAUCCAUUUAUUUUGAUUGUAAGAUUAAAUUACCUUAGGGAUAACAGCGUUAUCUCCCUUGAGAGUUCUUAUCGGCAGGGGGGUUUGCGA
This 447-nucleotide ribosomal RNA is filed under the name Reticulitermes santonensis (Saintonge termite). RNAcentral's name for it is "partial 16S ribosomal RNA". It matches the Rfam family "Archaeal large subunit ribosomal RNA", at positions 1917 to 2592 of the family's 2987-position model. The record is from RNAcentral. Lineage: Eukaryota; Metazoa; Arthropoda; Insecta; Blattodea; Rhinotermitidae.